This 911-nucleotide ribosomal RNA is filed under the name Trechispora mutabilis. RNAcentral's name for it is "LSU rRNA". It matches the Rfam family "Eukaryotic large subunit ribosomal RNA", at positions 38 to 964 of the family's 3401-position model. Lineage: Eukaryota; Fungi; Basidiomycota; Agaricomycetes; Trechisporales; Hydnodontaceae. The record is from RNAcentral.
GCAUAUCGAUAAGCGGAGGGAAAAGAAACUAACCCAGGAUCCCCUUAGUAACUGCGAGUGAAGCGGGAUGAGCUCAAAUUUGAAAUCUGACGGUUCCGCCGUCCGAGUUGUAAUCUGGAGAAGUGCUUUCCGCGCUGGACCGUGUACAAGUCUCUUGGAAUAGAGCGUCAUAGAGGGUGAGAAUCCCGUCUUUGACACGGACUGCCAGGGCUAUGUGAUGCGCUCUCGAAGAGUCGAGUUGUUUGGGAAUGCAGCUCAAAACGGGUGGUAAAUUCCAUCUAAAGCUAAAUAUUGGCGAGAGACCGAUAGCGAACAAGUACCGUGAGGGAAAGAUGAAAAGCACUUUGGAAAGAGAGUGAAACAGUACGUGAAAUUGUUGAAAGGGAAACGCUUGAAGUCAGUCGCGUCUGCCGGAAUUCAGCCUUGCUUCUGCUUGGUGCACUUUCCGGUCUGACGGGUCAGCAUCGGUUUCUGGGCCGGACAAACGCGCGGGGAAGGUGGCACCUCCGGGUGUGUUAUAGCCCUGCGUUGCACAACGGCUCGAGGGACCGAGGAAAACCGGCUUACCCCGGGAUGCUGGCGUAAUGGCUUUAAGCGACCCGUCUUGAAACACGGACCAAGGAGUGCUACACGCUCGCGAGUAUUUGGGUGUCAAACCCUCAUGCGUAAUGAAAGUGAAAGUCGAUACCCUUUACUGGGACACCGACGCCCGAGCCUGAUGUUUUCGGAAGGCUUUGCGGUAGAGCGAGUGCGUUUGCGACCCGAAAGAUGGUGAACUAUUCCUGAGGAGGGCGAAGCCAGAGGAAACUCUGGUGGAGGCUCGUAGCGGUUCUGACGUGCAAAUCGAUCGCAGGACUUGGGUAUAGGGGCGAAAGACUAAUCGAACCAUCUAGUAGCUGGGUUCCUGCCGA